CUCGGGGCCGGUGCCGCUCCCGGCCCUGCCCGCCCCGGCCCCGCUGCCCGGCUCCCUCUCCCUGCCCCAGCCCCACCGAGCCCCUUCUCUCCUCCUGCUCCUCCAGGCCAUGGCUGGCAAGAUCACCCAAAUCCUGCUGGUGCUGGCCAUCCUCCAGCACGGGCUGAGGGCAGAUGCCCAGGCAGUGAAGGUCACGGAAGAGGUUCUGACACAACAUGAGGAACAGUACAACCAGGAGAUUCCGUGGCUGGCCAGAGCUGGAAGGAUUACCAAAAUCCUGGUGCUGCUGGGCAUCUUCCAAUACGUAGUGAGGAUGAAUGAUCCACCAGUGAAAGUCACGGAAGAGCUCCUGAAGCAGCAUGAGAAGGAGCGCAUUGUGGAGAUGGCCCAGCUGCUGGUGAUGGAAAAGCAGCGUGGACUCACCCCAGGAGGAUUUCUCCUCCUGGCUUGCCAGGAGUGGUGGUUCUGGGUCGGCGCUGAAAUCCUCCUCGUGCUCUUUGGGCUCUACUGGCUGCCCAGGCACAGCAGCUCUGACUGCGAUGAUGGCAGCCAGCAGGAAACCUCCACCAGUGCCCAGGAGCAGAUGAAGGAGGAGGAGAACGUCUGUGAGGAUAAUCCUGACUCUUAUGACAUGCCAGAGAAGCCCCCAGAUAAGAGCUGGGCACGGUGGAGGAUAUUCUGGCGAGACACCCCUGUGUCCGUGGGGAGCAGCGACCAGGAAAUGUGCUGUGCUACCUCCCCUCGUGGCUGAGGAUGCAAACAAGAGCUCAGAUCCCUGCUUCCUGUGCAGCCCCUGCAAAUAGCCCCAGUUGUGAUGCUCCCCCUGCCAGGAAGUGUGGAACCCUUUGUAAAUAUAUUCAUAAAAGCAUUCAUUUGUUUUAAUAAAUCCUGUUUGAGCAAGAGAGUGCUGGGGAAU
Long non-coding RNA from Chloebia gouldiae (Gouldian finch), 916 nucleotides. Lineage: Eukaryota; Metazoa; Chordata; Aves; Passeriformes; Passeridae. The record is from Ensembl.